AUUCAACUGACGAGUCCCAAGUUGGGACAAAACGCGCGUCCUCAAU
This 46-nucleotide non-coding RNA is filed under the name Schistosoma mattheei. The record is from RNAcentral. Lineage: Eukaryota; Metazoa; Platyhelminthes; Trematoda; Strigeidida; Schistosomatidae.